AUGGAGCACAUGAUUUGGAAGGCUUGGGCGCCUCCAAAGGCAAAGUUCUUCGCUUGGUUGGCAACCCAAGAUAGAAUCUGGACGGCGGAUAGGCUAGCCAAGCGGGGUUGGCCGAACUGUGGUCUUUGCCCUCUUUGCAAAAGGGAGCAAGAGAGUGGUCCUCAUCUUUUUUUCAAGUGUUGUUACACCAUCCGCCUUUGGAAGAUGGUCAUUGAGAAAUUUCAGCUUACGCAUUUGGACACCUCUUCAUGGCAUUUGGAGGCUUCAGUCAAGAGUUGGUGGGAAAAUUUGACCGGCACAGGAGUACCCGACAGAAAGGCGAUGGCCUCGAUGACUAUGCUCGUGUCGUGGACCGUCUGGAACGAAAGGAAUGCACGGGUCUUCCGGCAUAAGUGUGCUCCACCGCCUAUUUUACUAGCUUCCAUUGCCAAUGAGGCAAAGCUUUGGGUCACCGCCGGGGCAAAGAAAUUAGGGGCCAUUAUUUUGCGCGAGUAA
Molecule: ribosomal RNA, 495 nt
Filed under: Triticum aestivum (bread wheat)
Lineage: Eukaryota; Viridiplantae; Streptophyta; Magnoliopsida; Poales; Poaceae
Description: partial small subunit ribosomal RNA
Source: RNAcentral